UACGUAGGGGGCAAGCGUUGUCCGGAAUCAUUGGGCGUAAAGAGCGUGUAGGCGGCCAGAUAAGUCCGCUGUGAAAUCUCGAGGCUCAACUUCGAGCUGUCGGUGGAAACUGUCUGGCUAGAGUCCGGAAGAGGAGAAUGGAAUUCCUGGUGUAGCGGUGAAAUGCGCAGAUAUCAGGAAGAACACCCGUGGCGAAGGCGGUUCUCUGGGCCGUAACUGACGCUGAGGAGCGAAAGCGUGGGGAGCGAACAGG
This 253-nucleotide ribosomal RNA is filed under the name uncultured bacterium. RNAcentral's name for it is "partial 16S ribosomal RNA". It matches the Rfam family "Bacterial small subunit ribosomal RNA", at positions 524 to 776 of the family's 1533-position model. The record is from RNAcentral.